UUUAGAGGAAGUAAAAGUCGUAACAAGGUUUCCGUAGGUGAACCUGCGGAAGGAUCAUUACCUAGAGUUGUAGGCUUUGCCUACCAUCUCUUACCCAUGUCUUUUGAGUACCUUCGUUUCCUCGGCGGGUCCGCCCGCCGAUUGGACAAACUUAAACCCUUUGUAAUUGAAAUCAGCGUCUGAAAAAACAUAAUAGUUACAACUUUCAACAACGGAUCUCUUGGUUCUGGCAUCGAUGAAGAACGCAGCGAAAUGCGAUAAGUAGUGUGAAUUGCAGAAUUCAGUGAAUCAUCGAAUCUUUGAACGCACAUUGCGCCCCUUGGUAUUCCAUGGGGCAUGCCUGUUCGAGCGUCAUUUGUACCUUCAAGCUCUGCUUGGUGUUGGGUGUUUGUCUCGCCUUUGCGUGUAGACUCGCCUUAAAACAAUUGGCAGCCGGCGUAUUGAUUUCGGAGCGCAGUACAUCUCGCGCUUUGCACUCAUAACGACGACGUCCAAAAAGUACAUUUU
This 507-nucleotide ribosomal RNA is filed under the name Boeremia exigua. RNAcentral's name for it is "eukaryotic LSU rRNA". The stretch from base 201 to 354 matches the Rfam family "5.8S ribosomal RNA". The record is from RNAcentral. Lineage: Eukaryota; Fungi; Ascomycota; Dothideomycetes; Pleosporales; Didymellaceae.